UAUGUAUGCAGUUUUAUAGUGAACCCAGUCUUUGUGACAGCAUUUCUGCAAGUUUCUCAAUUCUGCAUCUUUGCUUCACUGUCUUUGAAUAUCAGUGACCUGCCAUGGGAGGAAGGCCAGAGAUGCUUGCUGCGCAGCAGUGGUUCAGAAGUGUUUUAAUGAACUAAGAAGGACUGAUUUUCCAUCUGGCCUAACCAGAGUCUGAAGUUGCUGAAUCAAACAGAGCCAAUAGGUCGGACUUGAGCUGACUGGAGCAUGCACAGAGCUGGGAAGCACAACUUACCCUGUAUUUCAUGCAAUACAAAGGAAGAUGGCUGUUUGGGGUUGCCGUGUCUCUUAGCAAUUAAGGAGAUGGCUACAGCCAAGCAGUGUGAAGUGACAGCACCAGAAAGUUUUCUACACCAGAGGCUGAGAACAGGGGCUGUGCAGUCAUAUUCAAUAUUGAGUCCCCAACCCUAACCCGGACCUGGCACAUACAAGACAUUCAGCAGAUGGCUAUUGAAUGAAAAUAUAUAAAUGAAUCAACGAUUACCAGCUGCCUCCACUCCCUUAACCUGCUACAGAAUUAAUAAACUAAUCUUGAGCAUAGUGGAUAUAUAAAAAUAAAAGUAUCGUUGAGGACUGUCAGGCCAGCCUCUCUGUA
RNAcentral lists this long non-coding RNA (643 nucleotides) under Homo sapiens (human). RNAcentral's name for it is "HSALNT0359262". The record is from RNAcentral. Lineage: Eukaryota; Metazoa; Chordata; Mammalia; Primates; Hominidae.